This 1437-nucleotide long non-coding RNA is filed under the name Podarcis muralis (Common wall lizard). RNAcentral's name for it is "lncRNA (ENSPMRG00000021293.1)". The record is from RNAcentral. Lineage: Eukaryota; Metazoa; Chordata; Lepidosauria; Squamata; Lacertidae.
CCGUGGCAGUGGUUGGGCGACCCGGAAUGGACAAUAAAAGAGGAGUGAUAAUCUCAUUCCUCAAGUCUUUAUAAAGAGUGCAAGCCAGAAGGGCGUGUUGCCAUCUCCACAGGGACAUAAGCGUUUUUCAUGUGGAAUCUGUUGGAAUCGUCCCUCAAGUACAGCCGAGGGCAAUACAUUCAAUCUCGCGAGAGAGUCGAAAUGGGAAGGUGGAAAGUAGUCAUACAAUCGGCAAAAGUUUCUUAUUGUGGCCAAGUUGUUCUGACGCUCGGUCUCAUUUAAGGUAAAGGUAAAGGGACCCCUGACCAUUAGGUCCAGUCGUGCCCGACUCUGGGGUUGUGGCGCUCAUCUCGCUUUACUGGCCAAGGGAGCCGGCGUACAGCUUCCGGGUCAUGUGGCCAGCAUGACUAAGCCGCUUCUGGUGAACCAGAGCAGCGCACGGAAACGCCGUUUACCUUCCUGCCAGAGUGGUACCGAUUUAUCUACUUGCACUUCAUGCUUUCGAACUGCUAGGUUGGCAGGAGCAGGGACCGAGCAACGGGAGCUCACCCCGUCGUGGGGAUUCGAACCGCCGACCUUCUGAUCGGCAAGUCUUAGGCUCUGUGGUUUAACCCACAGCGCCACCCGCGUCCCGUGUCAGUCUCAUUCAGGCGCUGACAAAUUAGACUGCUUGCUUUACUAAAAGCCAAAGUGAGUAGCUGUUGUGGUGAUAAACCACAAGAGUGAAGGUUUUGAUGGGCAAUUUUAGUCCAGGCGCUCUUGUGACAAUCUUGCAGCCACAGAGCUGGCAAUCAACGAAGCAGAAUGCCAGCGUCAGAGCCAUGGCUUUUCAUAGAGCUGUCCAGCCAAAAUAAAUGCAUUCGCUCUAAAAGCCAAGUGGACCACAGUCUCUUAACCAUUGAGCCAAGUCAUUGUCCUCAACUGAUUGCUUCUCCUUUGUGAACGAUCACUCCAGAUCACCCUCCCUCUCCGAUGCUGAUAGUUGAUCCUCCACCUGGAGCGGUGAACGAAGGGGACUCGCUAGACCUCACUUGCCUGACCAACGAGGGGGAGACUGAGAAAAGAUUCACUUUCUACAGGGAUGGACUUGCGAUAACCUUCAGCGAUGAAGGAUCUGUGUGGAGCUUCAGAGAACCUGGAACUAACUUCUCAAAUGCCUCUGUUAGCAUCUUGAAAGCCAAGCUCAACCAUAGUGGAGAAUUUGCUUGCAGCUAUGAGGAAGAAGUUAGUGGCCGGUGGGUGACCUCUUCCAGGAGCCAGACGGUGAAAAUCAUGGUGAAAGUCCCAGAUCCUUCUCCACCAUCAGGUCCAUCGCUGGCAUUUGCGUAUUUGGCAGUCCCCUUUGUGAUUCUGAUGAUUCUCCUCGUUUUCUACUGUGGACAGAAAAAGACUGGUAGUUAUGUGAUGGGUUUUGAGGAUACUGUGAUGCUUAUGUGA